Molecule: ribosomal RNA, 253 nt
Filed under: uncultured bacterium
Lineage: Bacteria
Description: partial 16S ribosomal RNA
Rfam family: Bacterial small subunit ribosomal RNA
Source: RNAcentral
UACGUAGGGCGCAAGCGUUGUCCGGAAUUAUUGGGCGUAAAGAGCUCGUAGGCGGCCUGUUGCGUCCGCUGUGAAAUCCCGGGGCUCAACCCCGGGCGUGCAGUGGAUACGGGCUGGCUGGAGGCAGGCAGGGGAGAACGGAAUUCCUGGUGUAGCGGUGAAAUGCGUAGAUAUCAGGAGGAACACCUGUGGCGAAAGCGGCUCACUGGACCAUAACUGACGCUGAUGCACGAAAGCUAGGGGAGCAAACAGG